Long non-coding RNA from Passer domesticus (house sparrow), 6195 nucleotides. RefSeq lists it as uncharacterized. The transcript is spliced from 4 exons. The record is from RefSeq and is a predicted model, not a curated record. Lineage: Eukaryota; Metazoa; Chordata; Aves; Passeriformes; Passeridae.
CACUGCACGGCCGCCUGGAGGGCUGCGGGGUCGGGCUCACCUUCCCGUGUUCCGUUUGUGUAUGUUUUUUAGUAAUUGGCCAAUACGGUGUUUAUCCCGAAAAUGUUUUCAGUUAUAGAGGGGCGUUUUCAGGCCGUGUUCCUGGAAAUGAAACGCAGAAUGGGUCGAUAAGGUUUACACGUGCUUCAUGCAUGCAUCAUCGGGAGAUCAAUAUGAUUGCGCUGAGCAUUCCUGCUCAGACAAGAUGCACAUGUAGAGGUGAUGCAGGUUACUAGAUCAGGACCCAUCACUUUCUCAGUUACAUGCUCUUCUCCUUCUCCGAGUGAGAUAUUCAUUCCAAGGUUGUUCAGGACAUUGCGUCUUACAAGGAAUCCUUGUAAGAGUCAUCAGAGCGUUACAAAAAACCAUCUUCUGAAAGCCAUUGAGGACUACUUUGUCAUCAGGCCAGUUGGAUCUCAUUUGGACUGCUUGUCAUCAGCUCUCUACAAUAGUUUAUUUUGUUGUCACAAGCCCAGGCAACCUUUUCUGAGGUUUGGCCUUUAGCUGAUUGUGUAGGAUUCUCUGUUAAUCCAGCAGAGGAUUGUGAGAGCGCUGAUCUGAAUGGGUAAGCAAAUAAAGAUUUCUAUUGAGGGGAACAUCAAAAGUUGAGGACAUGCUAGACACAAUUUUGCAAAACUUUUAAAUGCCAUUCCAUUCUUUGGAACAUCUCAAAUCACAAGUCAACAUUAAAAAAAAUCAGCCCACAAAAAUUUUCGCAUUCUGAAUUUAGUUCCACUGAAACAUAUGAUACUGUUUGUACAGCAAAUUGAAACUGCUGUAGAUCUGGCUGGUGGGAACUGUGCAAUCAUCUAUACAUCAUCUUGUAAGGUCUUUAAAUUGUUUCUCACAGCUCUUGUGGGUGACCCAAUUGUAACUAAAUCCAUGUGUAUUCACAUUGAAAAACAUGCCUGGAUUCCUGAAUAUAAUGUUUCCUGUUUCAGAAAGACGACUUCCUUCUCUGAGCACAAACAGUAUUUCUGUGUUUUAAAUCACGUACCUGACUUUCUGAUCAGACAUGGUGAAUCUACCAAAUGAAUAGUUGAAAUAGACGCGUUUUAUUUAAGAGAGCAGCAAUUGUCUACUUGUCAUCCAUUUCCUGGGCACAUGCAAGGCCUGACAUUGCUCAGUCUUGUCCCAAAAUAUUAUUUUCUUGUCUGUCUGGAUUAUCUUGAUUGUCAGUGUAUCCCUACCCUGAAUACUAAGAUCAUCUUCAAAAAAAAUUAAUUGUUUAGAGAUUGUAGGAACCAGUGAUUCUCCACAGUGCAAAAUAUCACACUACAUAAGGAACUCUACCCACACAUUGUUAGGCAGGAGAAGCCAAAGGAAGUGUUUGGGUGCGUGAGAAGAAAAAGGUAUUUAAAAAACUGUCCACAGACCGAGCAUUCUGACUGCAGCCUUGACUGACUCUGGAGUCUCAGACAGUGAUCACCACCAGACAGGAUCUCCACCAAGUGUAUCAUGGCCCAAGAGAACUACUGUAGUCCAUACAAGUUGCAACACCAGGAAUAGGAGGGCCAUCUAAACUAGAUCAAGGGAUGUGACAAAUGCUUUUUAGUGAUGCUAAAUAGCUCUGAGACCUGGGUGAGUUCAGCUAUUCGUAGGGUCUUCCAUCUUUGUGCCUUGCUCUUCAAACAUUUUAUUUUCCACAAAACCCAAAUGCAUCCAAUCACAAAUGUUAAACCACUUUGUGGUCUAUUCCCAACCUACUUUAAAGGUAAGGAAAGGGUAACUUCCUAAUUUAUCUGAUUGGAAUGGAAUGUGUGGGAGCAAUAGGCAAGCUGGGUGGAUACAAGUUAUGUUCUAUCCAACACCUUUGUUAAAAUCAGUUUAGAGACACAACUCCUCAACAGGAAACAAUUUUCUAGUGUUUAACUUACAGUUGCAAAAUCUCCUGAAAACUGUGGCAAAAAUCUCUAUUAUAAAUAAUUUAACAAGUAAAUCAUAAUAUUAUGAAAUUCCUGUGUUUGAAAUACACCAGUUGUUUAGGGACAUCUGUUUAGAAACACCUUUUGUCUUUAAAUUUCAAAGAUUUUGUCAAACAUAUGUCUUCAACAUUAUUAUCUUCAAAAGUUUUUGUUUUUUCUUGUCUAUGUUUUCAGUGAGGGAGGGCAGGAAGUCAGAAAUGAUUCAUCCCAUUUUGGGAUGUGCUGCUUUUCCUGACAACAUUGAUUACAAAUCUGAGCCCACUUGUUAGCAAGAGCAACACAGAGGAUGUUUUCACAUCCAUCCUCUUAUUAAUCACUUCUUAGUUCUUGUAAAUAAUCUGCGCAAGUACAUCCUUAAUACGUCAUUUGCACUCUAAUGAAUAGAGUGCAGCAGGGGCAGCUCAGCUUUGAGAAACGUAGCCCAGAAAUUUUUAUGUGUGUUUUCUCACCAUUGUGGCUCUUUUUAUUUCCAUUCUAUUUAAUUUGUCUGAGGCAAUCGUUUUGAAUUUUAGAGCCUUGAUUCCAAACACUUAUUUUUUGCAGCUAUAUUAAAAUAUAUUUCCACCCCCACAAGAAGGGCUUAUUCAGAGAAGCAGGCUUUUAAAAAUCAGGAAACAUGUAUAAAAAGAAAACUAUUAAACAAUGUGUGUCUGGGUUUCCACUGAUAUUUUUACUGCAAUUAUAGAAAACAUUGGUAUUUUAAUGAGGUUUUUUCCAUUCAUUUGCUUCUUCAGCUUGAUUUUUUCAGUGAAGAUAUAAAUUCUGCAUUUAUGACAUCAGAUUUUUUUGCCAUGGAAUGUAAUGUACUAUCACAAACACAGUUAUGAUUACAUGACAAUUUCAAAUCAGAUGAUAAAAUACAUUCCAAGUGAGAAAACAGGUCUUUAAAUCAAGAAUAUAUGAAAUAGGAGAAAUAAAUUAUUCUUCCUAAGUGCUGAGAACCAGCGUGAUGUUAUACAGACAUAGCAUGAGGCGUUUUCUAACUUCACAGAGCUCACAACCCAAUGCAGACAGAGGCAUCAUAAAGGCGACUUGUAAUAUGCCUGUCAGGGAUAUAGACUGGAACUGGUGGUGAGACUGACACUUAUUGCGGGUGUGUUGGAAGAAGGGGUGGUGAAAAAUAGACAAAAGAGAUUUUUGAGAGCUACUGACUUAGAGAUACUCUUAUGCACUUCAGAAGAAAGAUGAGCUAAGAUAAAAUAGGGUGAGUUUGUAGUUACAAAGCUUCUCCAACAUGUGCAGGCGACUGGACUAUGGAAUGUACUUCAAGGGAGUUAGGGAGUGCAGCAAAGCACUUGGAGGAGUCUGGGCAGGGCGGAAAGCACAGAGGGAGAAUCAGUGGAUAUUAGUGUAGGGGUGUAACCACAGCUCUAUUGUGCAAAUUUUGAAGGGUUGACUGUGCCCUGGCACAAAAGGGAUAGUGAGGAAUUCAAAGGGAUGAGCACUGUUUUCUUGAAUAGUGAGAAUAGGAACUGUGUCUGAGCAAAUGAGAACAAAGAGAAAGAGGCUAAGGUAAAAUACUAUGGAAGCAGGUAUAAUGAGUGACUAAGGCACAAGUAAGGCUUUUUGUGGCAGAAAUGAGAAACAAAGGAUAAGUGCUGGGAGAACACAAAAGAAAAACCACAGGAUUUCCCAGAAGUUUGAUUACAAAGAGGUUUCAGGUAGAGACACAUACAACAUGAAAACUCUCAUUCAGAUACAAACAGAGCUACAAAUGUAUAAGCUUAUUGAAGGCUUAGAAUCCUGUCUGGGAAUGCAAAAGAGAGGAAGAGUACUGAGAUGUGUGAAAACAGUGGAAGGAAAACAAAGACAGGCUGCGUUUAGAUGGUAACCAGGAAAUAAUCAGGGAAAUAUCAGUGUGGUAAUGGAGAAAAAUGGAAAUGCUGAAAAACCAGUGAAGGACAUACCUGAACUUCAGGAAGAGGAGCUGUGGAUCCAGCCACCCUCUUACAGAUAGAUCCUCAUGUCUGUACUGUUUUCAACGCUGUGCUUUUUCUAUUGUAACAAGUCCAGCAAUUCCCUUGGGGGAGUAGAGUUCUGAACUAAUGACUUAAAAAAUUGCCAAGGACUGACAUAACUGAAAAUAGAAAGUGUCAGGACAGUGCUGUACAUAUACACUGCACACAUAUUACACACACUUACACAUGCCAGGGAAUGGGUUAUUUCUUCCAUUCUUUUCCUAACUAGGUUUUCUUUGUGGCAGACAUUUUCCACCUUGGUGCCAGGCAACUUUCAUUAGUGCAUAAUGAUGAAAAUAUUAGCCAAUAGUUUUUAAGCAGACAACCCAGAACUGUGUAGCCAUUUAGCAGGAAUAAACCAGGCUAUUCCUGAUUAAAACCUCUGACUUGUUCAAAGCAUGCAGCCCACUUUAUAGUGUCAGCCUUUCCCUAGAUUGACAUGGCAGUGGCACUGCCGUGGACAUAUAGGAACAGCUCCUUGCUGCCAUGAGGUAUUGAUUCACCAACUUUAGCUGCAGCUGUGCUAAGUCAAAACAGGAAAGAAUCAGAUCUGCCCUAACUAUCCAUUUGCCAAUUUCUCUAGUCUCUCUCCACACUGUAUAUGCUGUCUCCAACUUGGGAGUACUUGCUGUGAGUUCAGCACAGACAUUAUUCAGUUCUUGUAAUUCAGCCUCAAAGACUUAGCCUGAAAACUUACUGGAAAAAAUGCACAAAAUUAACCUGCUUGUCCUUUUACUCGAGGAUGGCAAUACAUGAAAUGGGUUAUGUGUGUUAGCAAUAAAAAAAUGCAGAACCAAAAUUUUAGGGCUAUUGAGACAACUCUGUAAUAACUUAUUUAUUUUUUUAAAAGCUUUUAUUUUUUUAAAAUUCAUUGUACUUGAUCUCGUGUUAGCAACACAUUUAAAUACUGGCAGAAAUUAUUAUUAAUUCCUUUGGUGUUUUUGUAACAAUGUAAACCAUGAUGAAUUAAUUUGGUACCAAUAUGGAUGUCAUAAGUACUUUAUCAGAUUUCCAACUCAACUCAUGACUAAUUAACUUACCGUUAUUUUAAGGAGUUACCCAGAUGUGCUUAUGAUAGAAUUAAGGUAAACAAUGACUGAUGCUCAGUCGUUAUGAUUAGAGCAGCUCUACACAAUUUGACAAAACCUCAUGUGCUUUUCAAUAUAAAGCACCUGUCAAGCCACGUGUGCAUCAGAUUUCUCAAAUUCCUUGUCAUUCAUAAUACAGAUGUAGACCAUAUUUUUAAAGUCAGUGUGUAGAAUGGAGACUUUUUCAAAAGGCAGGCAGGUUUUCUCUUCAAAACCCAUAAACUCUGUAACUGAAGUUUUUAGUGACCAACUUGUCUGCUAGUUGAAAUACUGUUGUCAUGUGUUCUACAGUUUUUUUUACACCCAAUUCAGUAUACUAUAUCAACACAUUAAUAGCAUGUGCCUAAAAAUGUAUUUUUAUAAAAUGGUACAAUUUAGGUUUGCAAAAGACUUUUUUACAUCAAACUUUUCAACUUCUUGCCUUUGUCAGGUUGUUUUCUACUUCAAGUUAAGUAGGUUUUAGUAGCGUUCUGUCACUAUUUCUGAAAACGUUCAAGGAACCAAACUACUUCUCGAGGGGAACUAUUCCAAAAUUUAACAUGUCAAAAUACCAGUACGUAAUUCAACCUAAUUACUGCAUAUUUCGUGUUUACAUCUUUGGAUAUUUGUUCUGCUUCUUAUUUGUGCAGACAAGCAGGUUGGAAUUGUAAUAAAUUAUUUAAUAAAUACCGGACAACUUGGUUUGCAAAUUAUCUGGGGAGUAUCUGAUGACUUUUGCUAACUAUGUGUUCGGCUUCUGUGAUCGAAGAAUGUCAGGGCAGUAAGGGAAGACUACAAGAGGGUGGAAUAGUUGGUUUGCUACAUUUAAAAGAGUGUAUCCAGUUAAUUUAAGAUUGAAGAGGACAAAAAGCUUCUUUGUUUACUUUGGUCUUUGGUCUUGGAUAUCAAAAGUGCAGAAGCGUACAUAUUGCAGACUGUCUAACUUGAAAGAACUGAACACAGCCGUAUGGAAACCUGGCCAUCAUUUUUAUUUUGAGCUGUGCUGCUACUUCUACUAGAGUUAGAGAUGAGGAAUUAAGCAAUGAAUGUAAGAAAUAAAAGUGAGAUAAGAAAAAGUUCCUCUUACUAAUAGAGACCGUGGUACUGACCAGUAGUCUGUGGGAGCUCGUGGUGAUCCAGACAACAGUCAUAUUUCAACAUGUGCUAUUUUUGCUUACAAAGUUAGAGUUAUAUAAUUUCUUGUUC